This is a non-coding RNA of Rhizoctonia solani, 88 nucleotides long. The record is from the annotation of a RefSeq genome assembly. NCBI's taxonomy places the organism in Eukaryota, Fungi, Basidiomycota, Agaricomycetes, Cantharellales, Ceratobasidiaceae.
GGCCGCCUGGUGUAGUUGGUUAUCACGCAUCCUUCACAUAAUUGGACGUGGUCGGAUGAGGUCUUGAGUUCGAACCUCAAGGUGGUCA